UACGGAGGGAGCUAGCGUUAUUCGGAAUUACUGGGCGUAAAGCGCACGUAGGCGGCUUUGUAAGUUAGAGGUGAAAGCCUGGAGCUCAACUCCAGAAUUGCCUUUAAGACUGCAUCGCUUGAAUCAUGGAGAGGCGGGUGGAAUUCCGAGUGUAGAGGUGAAAUUCGUAGAUAUUCGGAAGAACACCAGUGGCGAAGGCGGCCCGCUGGACAUGUAUUGACGCUGAGGUGCGAAAGCGUGGGGAGCAAACAGG
RNAcentral lists this ribosomal RNA (253 nucleotides) under uncultured bacterium. Its description in RNAcentral is "partial 16S ribosomal RNA". It matches the Rfam family "Bacterial small subunit ribosomal RNA", at positions 524 to 776 of the family's 1533-position model. The record is from RNAcentral.